AGAGUUUGAUCAUGGCUCAGAUUGAACGCUGGCGGCAUGCCUUACACAUGCAAGUCGAGCGGCAGCGCGGGGGCAACCCUGGCGGCGAGCGGCGAACGGGUGAGUAAUACAUCGGAACGUGUCCAGUAGUGGGGGAUAACCAGUCGAAAGACUGGCUAAUACCGCAUACGAUCUACGGAUGAAAGCGGGGGACCGCAAGGCCUCGCGCUGUUGGAGCGGCCGAUGUCCGAUUAGCUAGUUGGCGGGGUAAUGGCCCACCAAGGCGACGAUCGGUAGCUGGUCUGAGAGGAUGAUCAGCCACACUGGAACUGAGACACGGUCCAGACUCCUACGGGAGGCAGCAGUGGGGAAUUUUGGACAAUGGGCGCAAGCCUGAUCCAGCCAUGCCGCGUGAGUGAAGAAGGCCUUCGGGUUGUAAAGCUCUUUCGGCGGGGACGAAACGGUUCGUGACAACACCACGGACUAAUGACGGUACUCGCAGAAGAAGCACCGGCUAACUACGUGCCAGCAGCCGCGGUAAUACGUAGGGUGCAGGCGUUAAUCGGAAUUACUGGGCGUAAAGCGUGCGCAGGCGGCUCCUUAAGUCAGAUGUGAAAGCCCCGGGCUUAACCUGGGAACUGCGUUUGAAACUGGGGAGCUAGAGUGUAGAAGAGGGGGGUGGAAUUCCAGGUAGCAGUGAAAUGCGUAGAGAUCUGGAGGAACACCGAUGGCGAAGGCAGCCCCCUGGGCUAACACUGACGCUCAUGCACGAAAGCGUGGGGAGCAAACAGGAUUAGAUACCCUAGUAGUCC
This 791-nucleotide ribosomal RNA is filed under the name uncultured bacterium. RNAcentral's name for it is "bacterial SSU rRNA". It matches the Rfam family "Bacterial small subunit ribosomal RNA", at positions 8 to 796 of the family's 1533-position model. The record is from RNAcentral.